RNA transcript from Ochotona curzoniae (black-lipped pika), 2768 nucleotides. RefSeq lists it as uncharacterized. The transcript has 3 exons. The record is from RefSeq and is a predicted model, not a curated record. NCBI's taxonomy places the organism in Eukaryota, Metazoa, Chordata, Mammalia, Lagomorpha, Ochotonidae.
UUUUAUUCAGGAGUAGAAAUGCAUACUGCAGUAUAUGUUCAUUUCUCUUAUGAGAGUAUAUGUUUAUACUUGUUUCUAUUUUGUUUUGUUACAUUUUAUACUUGCUUAUAUACCUGUUCGGUAUUUUGUAUGAUUAUUUCCUUAUGUCAGAAAGAGUAUGUGAUAUCUGUCCUUUUGAGACUGGCUUAUUUCACUGAGCAUAAUGGUCUCCAAUUGGGACCACUUCCAUUGCACAUAGUAGAAUUUCAUUCUUUUCAAUAGCUAUGUAGAAUGUAUGGAGUAGAGAUACCACAGCUUUCCUCUCUGUCCCUUGUUCAAUGGGUAUCCGGGUUGUUUCCAUGUUUUUGCUAUUGUGGAUUAUGCUGAGAAGCAUAUAGGUAGCUUUCUCAUAUGUAGUCGCCACUUCUCAGGAGUAGGAUUGCUGGGUCAUACAGUAGAUUGAUUUUCAGUUGUCUUAGCAUUCUUCAUACUGAUUUCCGUAGUGGCUACACUAACCUACAUUCCCAUCAGCAGUGAAGUAUGGAAUCAUUUCCCUCCCCCACAUCCUCACAGAGGCUAAGUAUUAGGCACUCUGGUGAGCUGUAGCUCAAUCAAACCCACCCAAUGAUUCACACCCUGUUCCAUCCAUUCACUACUCAAUCAAUGCCGAUCUUUGCAGGUGUUUAGUUUGUCAGUUGGACUAUGCUCUGAGUGUCUCUGGUGUUCAUGGCCCACUAUACUUGACAGUUUUGGAAAACCAAAGCAAAGCUUUUCAUGCACUUAGUUUUUGGCCAGCUCAGCCUCUAUGAGUCUGUCUGAUUCCUACAUAGUCAUUUGAACUGCAUGCUAUUUUAAAGACAUGCAAUUUUAAUGCAAUGUAAUUAUAAGUAUAAAUGUUUUUCUUUCCUGAAUUACUUGCAGGGAAUUGUAAUUGGUAUCAUGGGACAGAUAUUAUCAGAUCAAUUACAAGGAUUCCUAUUGCAAGAAAUAGUGAGUGGCUUUUAAAAGGGUGGGGUAGCCUUAUAUAGCUAUUUUUUUAAAAUUGUACUCAAAAGGUCAUUCAAUCAAAACUCAAAGAGUUGCAACCAAGCAUCACUCCCUUUCAAUAUUAUAUUUCGAUACUAGUCUACAAUAAUUGCUCACAAAUUAGAGCAACAAUAUUUUUCAAAGUCAGAUUUCCAUCAUUCAGGGGAAAAUCAAGAGGUUUGUGGCUUUUCUUGGGCCAGAUUUCCACCCUGGAGCCCGUUUUCCAGUUAUGUCAGGUUUCAUUGGCUAAUUCAGUAGAACCUUGAGGGAGAAACAUGAGAUUUGGAAAAUUGGAGAACUGCAGAAUGUUGGAGCUCCUCUAGUUAACCUCUUCAUUUCAAAGGUGAAGAAACCAAGGAAGGGAGUGGCUAAACAACCUGCCUGGCAUUAUGGGAUGAGUUCCAAGAGAACAAGGAUUGGAGGCUGGGUUUCCUGCUCUCCAGGCCAAAAUCAUCCACAAAAUUUAUUUUGUGAGGAGAGAGAAAUAAUCUUUAAAAAUGAAACAGGACAGAAGAGAAAAUGUUGGAAUGCAUCACAGCUGUCGAGUGGAUGCAACAGGUGCUCGGUGACUGUCAAAUGAAUGAACGCACACGCACAUUGCAGAGCCCAGGAAUUGGAGAGAAGCUGAAUAUUUGGGACUUUCCUACUGUUCACCCAUCAAUGAUAACAAAAGAUAAAGAAGCAAAAGACAUUUGUCCCCUAUAAUGAUAAAUAUCCAGUAUGCACUGUGGCUUUCUUGAAGAAAAGUUACCCGAAGAUUGUAAUGGCAUAAUCACAUAUAUUGCAUACUUGUAUGUAUGUGUGUAACUUCUUAUUGAUGAAGAAAAACCAAAACACCUAGCUAUACCCAUAUCUGGGGUUGACUUUAACUCUUUGUCAGCUUGCUGAUGCUUUCCUAAUUCUGAUUCGGCAGCAAUUCUUGAGAAUUAUAAGGAAAAAGGAUUAGCUCAGAAACAAAAGGGCCUAUCCCUGCUAAUAAUAUGGCUCAGUGAUACUAAGAAAAAGGAAAUCUCGGAAGGCCACUCCUCCACUCUAGUAAUCUCAGGACAUCUAAAUUGGGAGUUGGUGGCCAUGUAAACAAAUUCAAAUUACCUUCCAGCAAAAACCUCCAACUACUCGUUUGAGAUGGUUUUGGCUGGAGGAUGUGAAUUGAGAUCAGAAUCAGAAAGCCACAGAAAUACUGAAAUAGCUGAAGCAUAGACAUAGUCAUUACAGGAAACUCAUGGAGGCUCAAAAGAGGUUAGAAAAAGAAAAGGAAAAGCUGCUGCAAGAGGAUCCGGUGGCAUUGCCUUCCCUUCUGGAGGUCUUGAUGAAAUCCUCUGAAGAGGAAGGGGAAGGGGGAGUUAAAGGUGCAGAGCCAGCAGCUUAGACAGCCACAAAACAGGAAGUGGGAGUGCUGACGCAACCCAAGUGCAACUGAAGGCAACCCAGCAGCCAAGCUGCUCCAGAGUAACCACCACAGUAAAAGCAGUGUGUCUGAGCCAUGUGUCAAACAGAGGACAAUGCCAAUUUCCCUGUUGCUGUGACCCCAACAUGGGUUUACUAGUGUUACAAAGGGACUUCAAAAGCUUCAUGGGAAACAUAUACUAUGAAAAACCAAGCCCUGCAAGGAUUUUAAACUGCUUUUGCACCAAAAUAGACUUAUCAUUUCAUUUUAUUUCCCCAGGACUCAUUGUGUUCCCUUGUGUGAUCAUUCUAGAAUUAUUUUUAUUUUUCCAGACUUGGAUAAAAUAUUGCUUGAAAUAAAUGGACCUCUAGAUUUA